Thunnus maccoyii (southern bluefin tuna) is the source of this 403-nucleotide long non-coding RNA. RefSeq lists it as uncharacterized. The record is from RefSeq and is a predicted model, not a curated record. Lineage: Eukaryota; Metazoa; Chordata; Actinopteri; Scombriformes; Scombridae. The transcript has 3 exons.
CAGAGAUGUGAGGAGGAAGAAUCUGCACCCCCCGCCUCUCUCUGUGCACCACAUGGCCAAAACCUCCUGAGCUGCCGGGAGUCGGCUGAGAUGCAGCUGAAGCUUCCUGAAGCUGGCCAAUCACAACAGAGUAGGCUCAUCUGGAGUGAAUGAUUCCGUGUUUUCUCCCCUGACGAGGUUGUUACCAACGGCGACCGUUAACGCCGACUGGGGAGAGGUGCAUCGUGGGAUUGCCACCUGGAUGGCACCUCCUUUUCUGGAAACGAGGAGUGAGAAGCCGCUAACGAGUUAGCAUGUCUGCAUGGGUGCAAGGCACACACACACACACACACACACACACUGACACACAACCAGCAUGACACACACACUCAGACCGAAAGAGCAAACGCACCCACACAGAGCA